GAUGAACGCUGGCGGCGUGCCUAAUACAUGCAAGUCGAGCGAACAGACGAGGAUCUUGCUCCUCUGACGUUAGCGGCGGACGGGUGAGUAACACGUGGAUAACCUACCUAUAAGACUGGGAUAACUUCGGGAAACCGGAGCUAAUACCGGAUAAUAUAUUGAACCGCAUGGUUCAAUAGUGAAAGACGGUUUUGCUGUCACUUAUAGAUGGAUCCGCGCCGCAUUAGCUAGUUGGUAAGGUAACGGCUUACCAAGGCGACGAUGCGUAGCCGACCUGAGAGGGUGAUCGGACACACUGGAACUGAGACACGGUCCAGACUCCUACGGGAGGCAGCAGUAGGGAAUCUUCCGCAAUGGGCGAAAGCCUGACGGAGCAACGCCGCGUGAGUGAUGAAGGUCUUCGGAUCGUAAAACUCUGUUAUUAGGGAAGAACAAAUGUGUAAGUAACUAUGCACGUCUUGACGAUACCUAAUCAGAAAGCCACGGCUAACUACGUG
This 497-nucleotide ribosomal RNA is filed under the name uncultured bacterium. RNAcentral describes it as "partial 16S ribosomal RNA". It matches the Rfam family "Bacterial small subunit ribosomal RNA", at positions 28 to 507 of the family's 1533-position model. The record is from RNAcentral.